Molecule: long non-coding RNA, 319 nt
Filed under: Rattus norvegicus (Norway rat)
Lineage: Eukaryota; Metazoa; Chordata; Mammalia; Rodentia; Muridae
Description: long non-coding RNA NONRATT005082
Source: RNAcentral
UGGAUGGUAGGUACUGUGUGAUGCUCUGGGGAGGAGGGAAUGAGAUUUCCCCUGUACCCCACUACCUUCAUGAAGCCUGCAGUCCAGUGCGGGGUGUCAAAUUUUGUGAAAAGGGCCAGAUAAACAUUUUGGGUGUUGUGAACAAUACGAUCUCUGUCACAACUACUCACCUGUGCCAUCGGAGAUGCCCCCAAGGCUCAGGAAGCACCAUGGAAGAGGGAGCGGGAAGACUGUCAGAGCCAAAGGUCGGGGAAAACCAGAGCAGAACAUUGUCAUCUGGACAUGACAGGGCUCCUGCACCAACGAACUCACAUCGGCC